This 465-nucleotide ribosomal RNA is filed under the name Vreelandella stevensii. RNAcentral describes it as "partial 16S ribosomal RNA". It matches the Rfam family "Bacterial small subunit ribosomal RNA", at positions 338 to 795 of the family's 1533-position model. The record is from RNAcentral. Lineage: Bacteria; Pseudomonadati; Pseudomonadota; Gammaproteobacteria; Oceanospirillales; Halomonadaceae.
CCUACGGGGGGCUGCAGUGGGGAAUAUUGGACAAUGGGGGCAACCCUGAUCCAGCCAUGCCGCGUGUGUGAAGAAGGCCCUCGGGUUGUAAAGCACUUUCAGUGAGGAAGAACGCCUGGUGGUUAAUACCCAUCAGGAAAGACAUCACUCACAGAAGAAGCACCGGCUAACUCCGUGCCAGCAGCCGCGGUAAUACGGAGGGUGCGAGCGUGAAUCGGAAUUACUGGGCGUAAAGCGCGCGUAGGUGGCUUGAUAAGCCGGUUGUGAAAGCCCCGGGCUCAACCUGGGAACGGCAUCCGGAACUGUCAAGCUAGAGUGCAGGAGAGGAAGGUAGAAUUCCCGGUGUAGCGGUGAAAUGCGUAGAGAUCGGGAGGAAUACCAGUGGCGAAGGCGGCCUUCUGGACUGACACUGACACUGAGGUGCGAAAGCGUGGGUAGCAAACAGGAUUAGAUACCCUGGUAGUC